CAGCUAUGCGAUCGACCAGUGACGCAAAGAUAUCUCGCUUCUUUCUACCAAAGUGCUCCAGGAGACCUAGAUACUUUCCAAUGCCACCGUCAUUCAGAGAAAGGAAAGCAAACGAAUCGAGAGACACUUCAGAUAGAUAGACCUUCACCGUCUUUCGGAGGUACCAGAGUGAGAUGGAGCAGGAAAGAUUCAAAGUGUUGAGAGUUAACGAACAACUGCCAAGGAGCCACCACCUCUCAAGUUGCUCGCUUUACCUCACGUCGUAGCUAAAUCGAGGCACCAUCAGCAGCUACAUAUCUCGACCCAAGACACGCCUCCAAGACAAAGAAGACUUCUAGAGCUCACUAAACACUGAGAGUAGUAACCGGAAACUCCGCGGAGGGACAAAAUAACCACCUCUGUAGCCGGACGACACCACCAUUUGGAAGCGUAGAAUCUUAACUUCACCGCA
This 451-nucleotide long non-coding RNA is filed under the name Brassica napus (rape). RNAcentral's name for it is "long non-coding RNA (BNAP_LNC020833)". Lineage: Eukaryota; Viridiplantae; Streptophyta; Magnoliopsida; Brassicales; Brassicaceae. The record is from RNAcentral.